CCAGUUUUGAUACAUGUCAUUCAUUUCGAUAAAACAGGGUAGUUAAACAAUGAAACUAGUAAGGCUUUCAGCUGAAUCUGUUUCAUGUUUACAAAACGAGCACUUACCUUAAAAUUAGCUGAUUUAAGCUAGACAUUAAGUUAAGCAAUUUUGAGGAUAUAACAAAAUUGGAGGAGAAAAGGAAUAAAAACUAACUAUCAUGGAGAAAGAGAAAAUUUACUGCGUCACUUGUAAGAAGAAGACUAAUACCCGUGAUGCCAUACCAUAUAAAGACCCUAAAACCGGAAGGAGAAUGCUGAAGGGGACUUGCACGGUGUGUGGGAAGAAAAAGUCCAUGUUUGUUUAAAUAUAAUCAACGGACAGACGUGUAGGAAGAGAAAUCCAUGUUUGUUUAAAUAUUGUCAGUGGACAGACCAUUAAAGUGAUUUCAAUAUUUUAUCUACAUUAUCGUGGACUUUUUGUUUGUUUCACCUUUUAUUGUUAUCUAACGUACUAUGACGUUAUAAUCUAUCAUUUUAGAUACAACUUUUAUGUGUAAGUUUGGAAAAUAAACAUAAAUUAUU
Long non-coding RNA from Mercenaria mercenaria, 563 nucleotides. RefSeq lists it as uncharacterized. The record is from RefSeq and is a predicted model, not a curated record. Lineage: Eukaryota; Metazoa; Mollusca; Bivalvia; Venerida; Veneridae. The transcript is spliced from 2 exons.